Molecule: ribosomal RNA, 497 nt
Filed under: uncultured bacterium
Lineage: Bacteria
Description: partial 16S ribosomal RNA
Rfam family: Bacterial small subunit ribosomal RNA
Source: RNAcentral
GAUGAACGCUGGCGGCGUGCCUAAUACAUGCAAGUCGAGCGGACGGACGAGAAGCUUGCUCCUCUGAUGUUAGCGGCGGACGGGUGAGUAACACGUGGAUAACCUACCUAUAAGACUGGGAUAACUUCGGGAAACCGUAGCUAAUACCGGCUAAUAUUUUGAACCGCAUGGUUCAAAAGUGAAAGACGGUCUUGCUGUCACUUAUAGAUGGAUCCGCGCUGCAUUAGCUAGUUGGUAAGGUAACGGCUUACCAAGGCAACGAUGCAUAGCCGACCUGAGAGGGUGAUCGGCCACACUGGAACUGAGACACGGUCCAGACUCCUACGGGAGGCAGCAGUAGGGAAUCUUCCGCAAUGGGCGAAAGCCUGACGGAGCAACGCCGCGUGAGUGAUGAAGGUCUUCGGAUCGUAAAACUCUGUUAUUAGGGAAGAACAUAUGUGUAAGUAACUGUGCACAUCUUGACGGUACCUAAUCAGAAAGCCCCGGCUAACUACGUG